Molecule: long non-coding RNA, 347 nt
Filed under: Mytilus galloprovincialis (Mediterranean mussel)
Lineage: Eukaryota; Metazoa; Mollusca; Bivalvia; Mytilida; Mytilidae
Source: RNAcentral
CAAUUGUUCUCUGAACAAUUGGUUUUUAAUUAUUAUUAUUUUUUUUUUUUUUCUUCCGCCUAAUUUUUUUCUUGCGUAAUAUUGAUGUUUCAAAAUAUGUCGCUUAGAUAUUUGGAAUAUGAUAUCAUAUAGCUUAUACGCUUUUAAUACUGACAACGGGGUAACCAAAUACUUUACGUUGUAAGAGUUAUCUCCCCAAAAACUGUUUUUCUUGUGGCCACUACUCCUUUGCAACCGUAAAAGAUUACGACAAAAUUAUUUUACCAAAUUGCUCGUUACAUCUUCAGGAUUAGGAUUUUAAUUUUGACCGAAGCUAUCCAGAGACUCCAUAUGAGAGUUAUUUCCCC